AUGGCCGCCGCCACCGAGCAGCUCCUCCUCCCCCAGGAGCAGCCCCGCCGCCGCCGACCGGUAUGGGGGCUUGCCGUCGCUGCCCUACUGCUGGUGCUGCUGCUCGCCGCCGCCGGCCCUCUCCGUCCUAGGCUGUUCCGCACGCCGCCGCCAGCAGAGCGCGUCGCGCUCACCCUCCUCUCCGGCGCGAAGGAGAAGGGCGCAGUGUGCGUGGACGGAACACCGCCCGGUUACCACCUGCAGAGGGGCUCCGGCGACGGCGCCGACCGUUGGCUCGUCCAUCUAGAGAGAGAGACCCGGCUCCUAACUUCUGUCGCCAUCAAGCACAUGCCUCCCUGUGUCACCUUUUUCUUUUCUAUAAAAAAGGGAGGAGGCUGGUGCAGCACAGUCAAGGAAUGUUCGGACAGCAGACUGUCCACCAAAGGUUCAUCCAACUUCAUGAAACCGAUUCGGUUCAUGGGUAAUGGGAUCCUCGGCGGCGAUCAGCUACAGAAUCCUGAUUUCUAUAACUGGAACAAAGUCUACGUUCGGUACUGCGAUGGGGCGUCGUUUUCUGGUGACGCUGAAGCUCAAGCACAGGAUGGAACCACACUAUACUUCAGAGGAUUGCGUAUCUAUGAAGCAGUUAUCGACGAACUCAUGGAAAAAGGACUCGCCAAUGCUACACAGGCCCUCUUUACAGGCUGUUCUGCUGGUGCUCUAUCCAUGAUGCUGCAUUGCGAUGAUUUUCGUGCAAGAUUUCCGCAGGAGGUUUCAGUUAAAUGCUUUGCGGAUGCUGGGUUUUUCCUUGAUGAAAAGGAUAUAUCCGGAAAAAGGUCCCUUUGGUCUCUCUACGACAGAGUCAUUCACCUCCAGAAUGUUAGAAAAGUGUUGCCCAAGGAUUGCCUUGCCAACAAGGAGCCAACCGAGUGUUUCUUCCCGGCAGAGCUUAUUAAGAGCAUCCGCACCCCCAUGUUUAUUCUCAACCCUAGUUAUGAUUCAUGGCAGAUACGAAAUGUUCUUGUACCUGAUUCAUCUGCUCCUGACAAGUCGUGGUUGAGUUGCAAGGAAAAUAUCCGAAACUGCAAUUCUACACAAGUUGAAGUCCUCGAUGGAUUGAGGAAUAAGAUGGUCAAUGACUUGAAGGUCGUCGAAGACAAGGAGGACUGGGGCAUGUUCAUCGAUUCAUGCUUCACGCACUGCCAAUCGCUCUCCGGCGUCUCUUGGCAUUCGCCAACCUCCCCGAGGCUUGAAAAUAAGACCAUUGCAGAAGCUGUUGGAGACUGGCACUCUGGAAGGAGCCAAGGAGCGAAAGAGAUUGACUGCAAGUAUCAGUGCAACCCAACAUGCAAUAGUUUGCCGCCUCCACGGGAUGUAACUGCAUUCAACCGUGUCGAGAUCUACUAA
Molecule: ribosomal RNA, 1386 nt
Filed under: Triticum aestivum (bread wheat)
Lineage: Eukaryota; Viridiplantae; Streptophyta; Magnoliopsida; Poales; Poaceae
Description: partial small subunit ribosomal RNA
Source: RNAcentral